Molecule: ribosomal RNA, 116 nt
Filed under: Ailuropoda melanoleuca (giant panda)
Lineage: Eukaryota; Metazoa; Chordata; Mammalia; Carnivora; Ursidae
Source: RNAcentral
GUCUAUGGCCAUACCACCCUGAGUGCCUGAUCUCGUCUCAUCUCAGAAGCUAAGCAGGGUUGGGCCUAGUUAGUCCUUGGAUGGGAGACCAGAUGGGAUAGUAGCUGAGGGAGUAA